UCAGCCCAUCCUCUCUCCUACUCACCAGAGGCAGCAGCCCAGCUUGCUCCUAUCUGCUUUUUAUGAGCAAUGCUGUCCUCUGAAUAGCACACAGAGAAGAGACUAAUAAUCAUACAAAUAUCAGGGAGAGCGGUCAAUCAUCACCUGAAAUGUUCAGUACACCUGAGGGAAAUUCGGGUGCUGCAGCCUGAAGAGUCUGCAAGUUUAGCAUGUAGAAGAGACAAGAUUACAGCCUUAGAGUCAAGCAAAGGAGGGUGAAAAGGAGGAGAAGCCUAUGCAAAUUGGAAUACACACAAUCUUCUGACAAUCACUUAGUCUGCAUCUUUCUGCUGUGAAAUCUGGUAACAGCUGGUUUGCUUUACAAGCAAGGUGAGGAAGACAGAGACUUGGGAAGAUACAUGAGCUUCAAAACCUCAGCAAGGCACCUUAAGAGGACAGCUCAGUGUGGGUGACCUGUGUGAUAUCAGACAAGGCAUGAAGUGAA
Cyanistes caeruleus (blue tit) is the source of this 484-nucleotide non-coding RNA. The record is from RefSeq and is a predicted model, not a curated record. Lineage: Eukaryota; Metazoa; Chordata; Aves; Passeriformes; Paridae.